Molecule: non-coding RNA, 200 nt
Organism: Arabidopsis thaliana (thale cress)
Lineage: Eukaryota; Viridiplantae; Streptophyta; Magnoliopsida; Brassicales; Brassicaceae
Source: RefSeq
UAAAGUCUUAAUUUUUAGUUAUCACGAUUUAGCACAUAUCAAUCUAUAGAUUUGAUUUUUCUUUUAUUAGUUCUUAAAUUUUGAUUUGAGACAGUAACUAUUCAAAUAGAAUGCUAUUGUAAUCCAGAAUCCGAAAGAAACGAAUCAAAAAAAAAAAAAACGAGUCUUCAUAGUAAAAAUCGAUUAACUAAAAAGGAUGG